Molecule: long non-coding RNA, 1889 nt
Filed under: Pelobates cultripes (western spadefoot toad)
Lineage: Eukaryota; Metazoa; Chordata; Amphibia; Anura; Pelobatidae
Source: RNAcentral
AAACUAUAGAGGUCUCCGGAAAAGUUAACGCCUUUAACAUUCCGGUUUCCUGUAGUGACUGGAAAAGAUUUUAGAAAAGGUUUGAGGAUGUAUUAUUUAUGUUACGGAGACUUACAAUGUAGGUUUCACCUUUCACGCCCUCCAGAAACCCAAAUACAAUGCUCGCAUCUCACAAAGAAUACACUGCAAAUGGCAGACCUACCUUUCCUUAUCACCAGCUUAAUAAUGCACUUUGCCAUCGGCCCACAUACUAUCCUCAAUAAACUGAAAAUUGAAUUCACCCUUGUCAUGUGGGUUCCUCAUGUGCUAGACAAUGCCAGUCACUUCCAAACUGCUUGUUCUACACCUAUUGGGCAAUGCUAGCCAGCCAAUCACUCUGGUUAUGUACUGUGCCCUAACCGCUGCACAAACUGGGUUGCCUAUAGUAUUUUGCUAGUAUACAACCCUGGGUGGCACAUUCAUUCUCGAAGCUGCUAUGCAGCUCCUGUAGUUUGUGCUCACUAUUUAGUUAAUUGUUCCCACAUUAUAUGAGUAUAUUCUGUGCACGUUCUGUUAAGGUAUACACAUGAUAUACUUAACUCAUUGGGAAGACUUAUUAAAUCAUGAGUGCAAAUUAAUAGAUGGUAAGGACCCAUGGUUUCCCAGCAUGACAUUGCCCAGAGCAUAACACUGCCUCCGCUGGCCUACCUUCCACCAUAGCGCAUCCUGCUGCUAUCUCCAGAUAAACUGCGUGCAUACACCCAGCCAUCCACCUGAUCUUAAAGAAACUUGACUCAUCAUACCUUCCAUUGGUCAAUUUCUGACACUCACGACCCCAUUGAAGGUGUUUUCAGCAGUAAACUGGUGUUACUAUGGGCACUCUGACCGGUCUGCAGCUGUGCGGCCCCAUACGCAGCAAACUGCGAUGCACCUUUCUACCAUGAGCAACACUAAGGUUUUAAUCUGUUUGAGUUACAGUAGCUCUUCUGUGUGAUCCGACAAGUCUUUGCUCUUUACGUGCAUCAAAGAGCCUUGGGCGCCCGUGACCCUGAUGCCUGUUCACCGGUUGCCUUUCCUUGCACCUUUGCAUGCCUGCAACCCACAAGACUUGUAAUUUUAGAGCUGCUCUGAGCCAAUCAUCUAGCCAUCACUGUUUUGGCCCUUGUCAAAGUCACUCAAAUCUUUUCUUUUAAAAAUAUGGUAGCACACUUAUCAAAGUAGGUAUUUCAGUCUAAAUUACAAUUAUAUGCAAAGAGUUUUAAAACCUUUCUUAUCCUUUCCAAUCACCACUGUUGGUAAAUCCACUCUUUAUCAAAAUAAUGUUGUUGUAUUGAUAUAAACAUAUGUCUAUUCCUUUAAGACAAGCAUGUCAAACUCAAAGGCUAACAAGGGCCAAAUAAACAAAGUUUCAGUUUAUGUGGGCCACAAAAAAACCCCAAAACUUCAGUUUUCAUUGAAACGUAGGCUUAUUAUAAAAAGAACUGUAUAAAAAAAGUUGCCUAACUGACACUAGACAUCCUCACGCUCGUAAGGCUUCAAAGUAAACAAAAGAGCACAUUUAUUUUAAGGAGAUGUGUAUUUGCAUAUAACCAAUGUUUGUUCAACUACAAUGACAUAUUAAGAAAUGUUUGGUAAUGGGAUUGAAAUGGUGAAUGUAUGCUGUUGCACAGCUGUAAAAAAAACAAGUCGUUGUCUUGUUGAUUUUAAAGUCCUAUGAGUGUGUUCUUCACUUUGGCUAAGAUCAUCAAACUUAAUGAUCUGAGCCAGACAUAAUGCUUUCCCAAAUGUGCAUGUGUGGCAAAAAGCUGCGCUGCCGAUCAGCAUCACCAUGCAGACCAAAUCCAAUACACUGCCCCCCCCCCACCCAUUCUAAUACAUUGCCCCCAAAUCCAAUACACUGCCCCUCCUCC